GAGGUGGGAGGAUGGCUUGAGCUCAGGAGGUUGAGGCUGCAGUAAGUUGUGAUCAUGCCACUGAACUCCAGCCUGGGCAACAGAACAAGACCUUGUCUC
This 99-nucleotide microRNA precursor is filed under the name Nomascus leucogenys (northern white-cheeked gibbon). Its description in RNAcentral is "miRNA (ENSNLEG00000028762.1)". The record is from RNAcentral. Lineage: Eukaryota; Metazoa; Chordata; Mammalia; Primates; Hylobatidae.